Molecule: ribosomal RNA, 425 nt
Filed under: uncultured bacterium
Lineage: Bacteria
Description: partial 16S ribosomal RNA
Rfam family: Bacterial small subunit ribosomal RNA
Source: RNAcentral
GUGGGGAAUAUUGCACAAUGGGGGAAACCCUGAUGCAGCGACGCCGCGUGGAGGAUGACGGCCUUCGGGUUGUAAACUCCUUUUGUCAGGGACAAUGGUGAUGGUACCUGACGAAUAAGCCACGGCUAACUCUGUGCCAGCAGCCGCGGUAAGACAGAGGUGGCGAGCGUUGUUCGGAAUUACUGGGCUUAAAGGGCGCGUAGGCGGUGGUGUAAGUCUGGGGUGGAAUGCUACAGCUCAACUGUAGAGCUGCCUUGGAAACUGCAUUACUUGAGUCGGUGAGGGGAAGGCGGAAUUCCUGGUGUAGCGGUGAAAUGCGUAGAUAUCAGGAGGAAGGUCUGUGGCGAAGGCGGCCUUCUGGCACUUGACUGACGCUGAGGCGCGAAAGCGUGGGGAGCAAACAGGAUUAGAAACCCUAGUAGUCC